UCAAAGAAUAGUUUUAAAAAAAUAAUAAUUUUGGAGAUUAUAGAUAAAGAAAUUUCUUUUUCUUUGA
This 67-nucleotide transfer RNA is filed under the name Promalactis odaiensis. RNAcentral's name for it is "tRNA-Pro". Lineage: Eukaryota; Metazoa; Arthropoda; Insecta; Lepidoptera; Oecophoridae. The record is from RNAcentral.